UCUUGACCUCGGAUCAGGUAGGGAUACCCGCUGAACUUAAGCAUAUCAAU
RNAcentral lists this ribosomal RNA (50 nucleotides) under Pyrenochaeta sp. RNAcentral's name for it is "partial 28S ribosomal RNA". The record is from RNAcentral. Lineage: Eukaryota; Fungi; Ascomycota; Dothideomycetes; Pleosporales; Cucurbitariaceae.